CAAUAGCGUAUAUUAAAGUUGUUGCAGUUAAAAAGCUCGUAGUUGGAUUUGUGGCGUACGGUGUGUUCCGGGCACUUGUUGUCUGAGUAACCUGCUGUUGCCAUCCUUGGGUGGAACCUGUGUGGCAUUAGGUUGUCGUACAGGGGAUGCCCAUCAUUUACUGUGAAAAAAUUAGAGUGUUCAAAGCAGGCUUAUGCCGUUGAAUAUAUUAGCAUGGAAUAAUGAGAUAGGACUUUUUUGCUAUUUUGUUGGUUUGCGCAAAGAGGUAAUGAUUAAUAGGGACAGUUGGGGGUAUUCGUAUUCCAUUGUCAGAGGUGAAAUUCUUGGAUUUUUGGAAGACGAACUACUGCGAAAGCAUUUACCAAGGAUGUUUUCAUUAA
RNAcentral lists this ribosomal RNA (380 nucleotides) under uncultured eukaryote. RNAcentral describes it as "partial 18S ribosomal RNA". It matches the Rfam family "Eukaryotic small subunit ribosomal RNA", at positions 592 to 976 of the family's 1831-position model. The record is from RNAcentral.